RNAcentral lists this ribosomal RNA (427 nucleotides) under uncultured bacterium. RNAcentral describes it as "partial 16S ribosomal RNA". It matches the Rfam family "Bacterial small subunit ribosomal RNA", at positions 354 to 796 of the family's 1533-position model. The record is from RNAcentral.
GUGAGGAAUCUUCCACAAUGGGCGAAAGCCUGAUGGAGCAACGCCGCGUGAAGGAUGAAGGUCUUCGGAUUGUAAACUUCUUUUAUGAGUGAAGAAUAUGACGGUAACUCAUGAAUAAGCACCGGCUAACUACGUGCCAGCAGCCGCGGUCAUACGUAGGGUGCAAGCAUUAUCCGGAGUGACUGGGCGUAAAGAGUUGCGUAGGCGGUUAUGUAAGCGAAUAGUGAAACCUGGUGGCUCAACCACACAGACUAUUAUUCGAACUGCAUAACUCGAGAAUGGUAGAGGUAACUGGAAUUUCUUGUGUAGGAGUGAAAUCCGUAGAUAUAAGAAGGAACACCAAUGGCGUAGGCAGGUUACUGGGCCAUUUCUGACGCUAAGGCACGAAAGCGUGGGGAGCGAACCGGAUUAGAAACCCCGGUAGUCC